Molecule: ribosomal RNA, 497 nt
Filed under: uncultured bacterium
Lineage: Bacteria
Description: partial 16S ribosomal RNA
Rfam family: Bacterial small subunit ribosomal RNA
Source: RNAcentral
GAUGAACGCUGGCGGCGUGCCUAAUACAUGCAAGUCGAGCGAACGGACGUGAAGCUUGCUUCUCUGAUGUUAGCGGCGGACGGGUGAGUAACACGUGGAUAACCUACCUAUAAGACUGGGAUAACUUCGGGAAACCGGAGCUAAUACCGGAUAAUAUUUUGAACCGCAUGGUUCAAAAGUGAAAGACGGUCUUGCUGUCACUUAUAGAUGGAUCCGCGCUGCAUUAGCUAGUUGGUAAGGUAACGGCUUACCAAGGCAACGAUGCAUAGCCGACCUGAGAGGGUGAUCUGCCACACUGGAACUGAGCCACGGUCCAGACUCCUACGGGAGGCAGCAGUAGGGAAUCGUCCGCAAUGGGCGAAAGCCUGACGUAGCAACGCCGCGUGAGUGAUGAAGGUCUUCGGAUCGUAAAACUCUGUUAUUAGUGAAGAACAUAUGUGUAAGUAACUGUGCACAUCUUGACGGUACCUAAUCAGAAAGCCACGGCUAACUACGUG